GACGAACGCUGGCGGCGUGCUUAACACAUGCAAGUCGAACGGAAAGGCCCUGCUUGUGUGGGGUGCUCGAGUGGCGAACGGGUGAGUAACACGUGAGUAACCUGCCCUACACUUUGGGAUAACUUCAGGAAACUGGGGCUAAUACCGGAUAGGAGCUCCUGCUGCAGGGUGGGGGUUGGAAAGUUUCGGCGGUUGGGGAUGGACUCGCGGCUUAUCAGCUUGUUGGUGGGGGAGUGGCUUACCAAGGCUUUGACGGGUAGCCGGCCUGAGAGGGUGACCGGCCACAUUGGGACUGAGAUACGGCCCAGACUCCUACGGGAGGCAGCAGUGGGGAAUAUUGCACAAUGGGCGGAAGCCUGAUGCAGCAACGCCGCGUGCGGGAUGACGGCCUUCGGGUUGUAAACCGCUUUCGCCUGUGACGAAGCGUGAGUGACGGUAAUGGGUAAAGAAGCACCGGCUAACUACGUG
Molecule: ribosomal RNA, 468 nt
Filed under: uncultured bacterium
Lineage: Bacteria
Description: partial 16S ribosomal RNA
Rfam family: Bacterial small subunit ribosomal RNA
Source: RNAcentral